GUCAGUGGUAGCUCACUGGUUAAGACAUCGGACUACUGAUCGGAAGGUCGUGAGUUCAAAAUCCCAUCAAUGCCA
This is a non-coding RNA of Ameiurus melas (black bullhead), 75 nucleotides long. Lineage: Eukaryota; Metazoa; Chordata; Actinopteri; Siluriformes; Ictaluridae. The record is from the annotation of a GenBank genome assembly.